UACGUAGGGGCCAAGCGUUGUCCGGAUUUAUUGGGCGUAAAGAGCGCGCAGGCGGCUGGUCAAGUCCGAUGUGAAAGCUCCCGGCUUAACUGGGAAAUUGCAUCGGAAACUGAUCGGCUGGAAGGUGGGAGAGGGUAGCGGAAUUCCCGGUGUAGUGGUGAAAUGCGUAGAUAUCGGGAGGAACACCAGUGGCGAAAGCGGCUACCUGGCCCAUUCUUGACGCUGAGGCGCGAAAGCUAGGGGAGCAAACGGG
RNAcentral lists this ribosomal RNA (253 nucleotides) under uncultured bacterium. RNAcentral describes it as "partial 16S ribosomal RNA". It matches the Rfam family "Bacterial small subunit ribosomal RNA", at positions 524 to 776 of the family's 1533-position model. The record is from RNAcentral.